Molecule: long non-coding RNA, 797 nt
Organism: Erinaceus europaeus (western European hedgehog)
Lineage: Eukaryota; Metazoa; Chordata; Mammalia; Eulipotyphla; Erinaceidae
Exons: 2
Source: RefSeq, a predicted model, not a curated record
CCCUGUGCAUCUCGGUAAUAGGCGUGUGUGACACUCCGGAAUCGCUCCUGCCCUGCUGUGUCCCAGAUCUGCGGAGGGAUGGAUGGGCAGACAAGGAGCCCUGCUGCCCAGCCUCCUCUAACCAGAAAUGCCUAGGGCCACAGCAUACUGGGAAGCCAGAGCAGGCAAGGGGAGGGCAGCAACCCUGUGCCCCGCUGCCCCUGGCUUGCUGUGGAAGGAGGAGCCAGCAGCCACCUCACCCUGAAGUCUAUGCCGACCGUGGCUAUGAAGGUCCCGGAAAGGAAGGCCCCGUCUUUGAAUUGGAUCAGGAAACAGGUUUUGCCGACGCCUGAGUCUCCCAGAAGCAUCACCUAGGAGAUGGGGGCAGAGGCAGUUACUGGGGAGUUAGUGGGGGGCUGGUUUCUGGGCUGCCCGAGAAAGGAGCUGGAAGGAAGGGCAGAGAGCUAGGAAGCCUGGAACCGCAGGCCCGGCAUCUGCUUCUGGCAGGCCGGCUGCUGCAAGCACCCCCAUGUUUACAUGUGCCUGGGCUCUGUGCCCCUUGCUCGCCGUCCCUUGGAUUCACCUGUCCUCAUUCCACUUCCUAGAAGCCUGGGCACCAACAGGUCCCCAGAUGUGCUUGGUGGCAUCAGAGAAACACUACCUUUGGGUGGUCUAGACUCUGCCCAAAUUCACCCCAACCACAUGGUGCAGGGAUUUGCUCUUCAGUUAACACACACACACACACACACACACACACACACACACACACACACACGAGAGAGAGAGAGAGAGAGAGAGAGAGAGAGAGAGAGAGAGAA